Molecule: transfer RNA, 76 nt
Filed under: Ghiorsea sp.
Lineage: Bacteria; Pseudomonadati; Pseudomonadota; Candidatius Mariprofundia; Mariprofundales
Also listed under: 3 other names
Description: tRNA-Gly
Rfam family: tRNA
About the family: Transfer RNA (tRNA) molecules are approximately 80 nucleotides in length.
Source: RNAcentral
GCGGGUAUAGCUCAUUUGGUAGAGCGCGACCUUGCCAAGGUCGAGGUAACCGGUUCGAGCCCGGUUACCCGCUCCA